Molecule: transfer RNA, 85 nt
Filed under: Pseudomonadota bacterium
Lineage: Bacteria; Pseudomonadati; Pseudomonadota
Description: Proteobacteria bacterium tRNA-Leu
Rfam family: tRNA
About the family: Transfer RNA (tRNA) molecules are approximately 80 nucleotides in length. Their secondary structure includes four short double-helical elements and three loops (D, anti-codon, and T loops).
Source: RNAcentral
GCCCGGGUGGCGGAACUGGUAGACGCAGGGGACUUAAAAUCCCCCGGCUUUUGCCGUGCCGGUUCGACUCCGGCCCCGGGCACCA